UGGGGAAUAUUGCACAAUGGGCGCAAGCCUGAUGCAGCAACGCCGCGUGAACGAUGAAGGUCUUCGGAUCGUAAAGUUCUGUUGCAGGGGAAGAUAAUGACGGUACCCUGUGAGGAAGCCCCGGCUAACUACGUGCCAGCAGCCGCGGUAAUACGUAGGGGGCUAGCGUUAUCCGGAAUUAUUGGGUUUAAAGGGUGCGUAGGUUGCAAGGGAAGUCAGGGGUGAAAAGCUAUAGCUCAACUAUGGUCUUGCCUUUGAAACUCUCUAGCUAGAGUGUACUGGAGGUACGUGGAACGUGUGGUGUAGCGAUGAAAUGCAUAGAUAUCACACAGAACUCCGAUUGCGCAGGCAGCGUACUACAUUACAACUGACACUGAAGCACGAAAGCGUGGGUAUCAAACAGG
This 404-nucleotide ribosomal RNA is filed under the name Verrucomicrobiota bacterium. RNAcentral's name for it is "Verrucomicrobia bacterium partial 16S ribosomal RNA". It matches the Rfam family "Bacterial small subunit ribosomal RNA", at positions 355 to 776 of the family's 1533-position model. The record is from RNAcentral. Lineage: Bacteria; Pseudomonadati; Verrucomicrobiota.